AUUGAACGCUGGCGGCAUGCCUUACACAUGCAAGUCGAACGGUAACGGGCCUUCGGGUUCCUCCUAGUGGCGGCCGGUUGAGUACUACUUCGGAAUGUGCCCGAUCCUGGUUUUUCAUGGGGCAUAAGCUUUGCUAAUUCCCCCUACUAUCUCCUACUACCAACGGGUGACCGCACGGCCUUUUGCGACCUUGCCCGCCGAUGUCAGAUUAGGUAGUUGUUGGGAUAAAAGCUUACCAAGGCGACGAUCUGUAGCUGGUCUGAGAGGAUGAUCAGCCACACUGGGACUGAGACACGGCCCAGACUCCUACGGGAGGCAGCAGUGGGGAAUAUUGGACAAUGGGCGCAAGCCUGAUCCAGCCAUGCCGCGUGGAGGAUGAAGGCCUUCGGGUUGUAAAGUGCUUUUGUACGGAACGAAAAGCAGUAUGUUAAUACAGGAGGGUCAUGACGGUACCGAAAGAAUAAGCACCGGCUAACUACGUG
RNAcentral lists this ribosomal RNA (482 nucleotides) under uncultured bacterium. RNAcentral's name for it is "partial 16S ribosomal RNA". It matches the Rfam family "Bacterial small subunit ribosomal RNA", at positions 30 to 507 of the family's 1533-position model. The record is from RNAcentral.